GAAAUGCGAUAAGUAAUGUGAAUUGCAGAAUUCAGUGAAUCAUCGAAUCUUUGAACGCACCUUGCGCUCCUUGGUAUUCCUUGGAGCAUGCCUGUUUGAGUAUCAUGAAAUCUUCAAAGUAAAUCUUUUGUUAACUCAAUUGGUUUCUACUUUGGUAUUGGAGGUCUUUGCAGCUUCACACCUGCUCCUCUUUGUUCAUUAGCUGGAUCUCAGUGUUAUGCUUGGUUCCACUCGGCGUGAUAAGUUAUCUAUCGCUGAGGACACUGUAAAAGGUGGCCAAGGUAAAUGCAGAUGAACCGCUUCUAAUAGUCCAUUGACUUGGACAAUACUUUUAUGAUCUGAUCUCAAAUCAGGUAGGACUACACGCUGAACUUAAGC
RNAcentral lists this unclassified non-coding RNA (378 nucleotides) under plant metagenome. RNAcentral's name for it is "partial contains 5.8S ribosomal RNA, internal transcribed spacer 2, and large subunit ribosomal RNA". The stretch from base 1 to 105 matches the Rfam family "5.8S ribosomal RNA", at positions 50 to 154 of the family's 154-position model. The record is from RNAcentral.